CCUACGGGCGGCAGCAGUGGGGAAUAUUGCACAAUGGGGGAAACCCUGAUGCAGCGACGCCGCGUGAGUGAAGAAGUAAUUCGUUAUGUAAAGCUCUAUUAGCAGGGAAGAAAAUGACGGUACCUGAGGAAGAAGCCCCGGCUAACUACGUGCCAGCAGCCGCGGUAAUACGUAGGGGGCAAGCGUUAUCCGGAUUUACUGGGUGUAAAGGGAGCGUAGACGGCAGUGCAAGUCUGGAGUGAAAGGCGGGGGCUCAACCCCCGGACUGCUCUUGAAACUGUACGGCUGGAGUGCAGGAGAGGUAAGUGGAAUUCCUGGUGUAGCGGUGAAAUGCGUAGAGAUUAAGAGGAACACCAGUGGCGAAGGCGGCUUACUAGACUGUAACUGACGUUGAGGCUCGAAAGCGUGGGGAGCAAACAGGAUUAGAUACCCCUGUAGUC
RNAcentral lists this ribosomal RNA (440 nucleotides) under uncultured bacterium. Its description in RNAcentral is "partial 16S ribosomal RNA". It matches the Rfam family "Bacterial small subunit ribosomal RNA", at positions 338 to 795 of the family's 1533-position model. The record is from RNAcentral.